Delphinapterus leucas (beluga whale) is the source of this 97-nucleotide small nucleolar RNA. Ensembl annotates it as small nucleolar RNA SNORA40. The record is from Ensembl. NCBI's taxonomy places the organism in Eukaryota, Metazoa, Chordata, Mammalia, Artiodactyla, Monodontidae.
UGCCAUAAAGCAAUAACAAAAACAAAUCUAUGAUCCUCUUUUACAACCCAGAACUCAUUGUUCAGUAUGAGUUUUGAUACAGAUAAGAAGGAACAUG